This 1442-nucleotide ribosomal RNA is filed under the name uncultured organism. Its description in RNAcentral is "partial small subunit ribosomal RNA". It matches the Rfam family "Bacterial small subunit ribosomal RNA". The record is from RNAcentral.
GCGUGCUUAACACAUGCAAGUCGAACGGAAAGGCCCUGCUUUUGUGGGGUGCUCGAGUGGCGAACGGGUGAGUAACACGUGAGUAACCUGCCCUUGACUUUGGGAUAACUUCAGGAAACUGGGGCUAAUACCGGAUAGGAGCUCCUGCUGCAUGGUGGGGGUUGGAAAGUUUCGGCGGUUGGGGAUGGACUCGCGGCUUAUCAGCUUGUUGGUGGGGUAGUGGCUUACCAAGGCUUUGACGGGUAGCCGGCCUGAGAGGGUGACCGGCCACAUUGGGACUGAGAUACGGCCCAGACUCCUACGGGAGGCAGCAGUGGGGAAUAUUGCACAAUGGGCGGAAGCCUGAUGCAGCAACGCCGCGUGCGGGAUGACGGCCUUCGGGUUGUAAACCGCUUUCGCCUGUGACGAAGCGUGAGUGACGGUAAUGGGUAAAGAAGCACCGGCUAACUACGUGCCAGCAGCCGCGGUGAUACGUAGGGUGCGAGCGUUGUCCGGAUUUAUUGGGCGUAAAGGGCUCGUAGGUGGUUGAUCGCGUCGGAAGUGUAAUCUUGGGGCUUAACCCUGAGCGUGCUUUCGAUACGGGUUGACUUGAGGAAGGUAGGGGAGAAUGGAAUUCCUGGUGGAGCGGUGGAAUGCGCAGAUAUCAGGAGGAACACCAGUGGCGAAGGCGGUUCUCUGGGCCUUUCCUGACGCUGAGGAGCGAAAGCGUGGGGAGCGAACAGGCUUAGAUACCCUGGUAGUCCACGCUGUAAACGGUGGGUACUAGGUGUGGGGUCCAUUCCACGGGUUCCGUGCCGUAGCUAACGCUUUAAGUACCCCGCCUGGGGAGUACGGCCGCAAGGCUAAAACUCAAAGGAAUUGACGGGGCCCCGCACAAGCGGCGGAGCAUGCGGAUUAAUUCGAUGCAACGCGUAGAACCUUACCUGGGUUUGACAUGGAUCGGGAGUGCUCAGAGAUGGGUGUGCCUCUUUUGGGGUCGGUUCACAGGUGGUGCAUGGCUGUCGUCAGCUCGUGUCGUGAGAUGUUGGGUUAAGUCCCGCAACGAGCGCAACCCUUGUUCACUGUUGCCAGCACGUUAUGGUGGGGACUCAGUGGAGACCGCCGGGGUCAACUCGGAGGAAGGUGGGGAUGACGUCAAGUCAUCAUGCCCCUUAUGUCCAGGGCUUCACGCAUGCUACAAUGGCUGGUACAGAGAGUGGCGAGCCUGUGAGGGUGAGCGAAUCUCGGAAAGCCGGUCUCAGUUCGGAUUGGGGUCUGCAACUCGACCUCAUGAAGUCGGAGUCGCUAGUAAUCGCAGAUCAGCAACGCUGCGGUGAAUACGUUCCCGGGGCUUGUACACACCGCCCGUCAAGUCAUGAAAGUUGGUAACACCCGAAGCCGGUGGCCUAACCGUUGUGGGGGAGCCGUCGAAGGUGGGACUGGUGAUUAGGACUAAGUCAUAA